Molecule: long non-coding RNA, 223 nt
Filed under: Elaeis guineensis (African oil palm)
Lineage: Eukaryota; Viridiplantae; Streptophyta; Magnoliopsida; Arecales; Arecaceae
Description: long non-coding RNA (EGUI_LNC024374)
Source: RNAcentral
UCAUCCUUAUCCGGUCCAAAGAAAGAAGAAAAAUGGGGCUCUUGCUUUGACUUAGUCUAAAUCCUAUCUAAUGGGUUGAUCAAGUCAAGAAAGAUUUGGAUUUAACCAUGUGCUAGCAUGGUGCACUUAAACCCAACAAGAUUUCUCAAAUUCUAAUCCAAUUGAAAUUUCAUAAGCACAAUUGAUCAAUCCAAGAUCUAAUUCUUUUAUUGUGUAACCCCAU